GAGGGGAUGGCGCAGUGGUGAAGCGCCCGAAAAACUCUGCUGCCAGCGGAGCUUGAAGGUUCGAGUCCUUCUCUCCUCA
Molecule: transfer RNA, 79 nt
Filed under: Curvularia lunata CX-3
Lineage: Eukaryota; Fungi; Ascomycota; Dothideomycetes; Pleosporales; Pleosporaceae
Description: tRNA-Gly (GCC) (tRNA-Gly-GCC-2-1)
Rfam family: tRNA
About the family: Transfer RNA (tRNA) molecules are approximately 80 nucleotides in length. Their secondary structure includes four short double-helical elements and three loops (D, anti-codon, and T loops).
Source: RNAcentral